AGGACGAACGCUGGCGGCGCGCUUAACACAUGCAAGUCGAGCGGAAAGGCCCUUCGGGGUACUCGAGCGGCGAACGGGUGAGUAACACGUGAGUAAUCUGCCCCUAGCUCUGGGAUAGCUCCGGGAAACCGGGAUUAAUACCAGAUACGACCACUUUAGACAUCUGCUGUGGUGGAAAGAAUUUCGGCUAGGGAUGAGCUCGCGGCCUAUCAGCUUGUUGGUGAGGUAACGGCUCACCAAGGCGACGACGGGUA
Molecule: ribosomal RNA, 254 nt
Filed under: uncultured bacterium
Lineage: Bacteria
Description: partial small subunit ribosomal RNA
Rfam family: Bacterial small subunit ribosomal RNA
Source: RNAcentral